CUUGUCACAUGCAUGUUUCUAAACUCUAGCUCCCUUUUAUCAGGUGUUUUUGAACUUUGUUGUUGAGUUUCCUAUGAUUUCAUUCUGUUUCGCAAGAUAAAUUAUGAUAAUGAGAUUGAAUUUCUUCAUUUGGAAUGCUUGUGUAGUAUUUGGUCAACUCUAAACUUGAUUCUAAGUUAUAUCUACUCUACAUGAAUAGAGAGUGUGAAAGAAUACUGUUCAUAAGAGAAAUAGCCAUCCUGGCCGUUCAUUCACUUUUAUAAGUGGCCCCACUUGGCUUCAUUCUUUUCUGACCGUAGAUCUUUCUUUCUCUUAGUUGGGCUGGCCCAAAUAGCAAAAGCUCAGUUGUUCCCUUACCUCUGUGCUCUGUGUGAUGUCUUUUUUUUGAACUUCUGUGUGAUGUCAAUUGCUUUGUUGAAGCUGGAAAGGUUGAACGGGAAUAGUGAUUGAUGUGGCUUCCGUUUAUCAUGACGUUUUCUUCGUCACUGUUUCAUGGAGUACGAAUUUUUCGUCACCAUGAAUAGUGUUAGGUCAAAAUCACAAUCAGAAUCAGAAGGAGUAGAGAAGAUGGUGGAAGGAAAAGGACCAAUUUUUCACUGUCAAUGGAUGGGUGAGGAAGCUAAGAUGACAUGAUAGAUCAUCAUCCCAAUUUUUGAAGAAAAAGGGAAGUUGGUGGAUUGAGAAGGAGUGUUGUCCGGUGAGGAUCAGAAGAAGCAGAGAAGAUGAUGGACUCUUUCGUAAGUGUAGCAGGGAGUUUGCAAGCGAUCAAUUUCCAAUAAAUUGUACUACUGUGAUACUCAUGUCUUUUAUGGUUGGACCUGUGAAUGGAUAUGGAGUUUCCUCAUUCUGUGGCUAUUUCCAAAAAGUAUAUGGAGCCAAUGGGUACAGUGUUGAGCAAUCACUUGAUGUUUUUUGGUUUGAUUGCUUUUCCAAUGCCCACAAGGAUUUAGAGUUUGUUGACAAUUUUUUUUUUUUUGCCUUUUGGCAGGUUGAUCCAGAAACAGAUGAAGAGAAAACACUUUAACCCACGGCGAGAGCACUCAGACAUGGGGAAAGAGGGAUGGAGGUCUGUAUGUAGAGGAUUGGUGGAAGCCCAUAUGUGCGAAGGUAUGUGAAUCACUCUGUCUUUAGUUUUGAAAUCCUAAUUCUAAGUUUCAGGUGUAUCGUUCUCGGUUAUUUUUUCUGGUUACAUGAAAUCUUCUUCUUUGAAUUUGUGAAAUCCAGUCUCUCUGCAUAAGUGAUAAGCGCAUAAUUGAUGCACUUUACGUGUAUCUUUUUAAGCUUCAUUAUGUACAUUCUUGUGCUUAAUUGUUAUGACUUAGCCAUAUUUUGACCAUUAGUGCUUAUUUGGAUUAUUCAUGGAAAAGUGCUUAAUUCUACACUUUUAGUUUCUAUGACUGUUUUGCUAGAACAUGUUGAAUCUGGAGCUAGCAAUAUCGAAAUAAGGCCCAUAAUAUGUCGUUGGAAAGCUAACUCGAAGCCCUACAACUUUCAUGUUCAGAACAAUUGAAGAACAAGCUUCUAACAUGGUCAGAAUUGCCUUGCAAAGUUGCUAUCGCUAAUCCUGCGAGUUUGGAACAGUCUGCACUAAAAUGAUCAUAUCUUGGGCUACAAAACUCCGAAUUAGGAUCCGAUUGAAGGCCUGCGAAGCUGACUUAAAGAGCUACAACUCUCAUGUUUACCUCAAUUGAAGAUUCAGACUUCUUGUGGGACCCACGAAUGCCUGAUUGUUCAGCAGCUUACUCCUUUAUGUGGGCCCGAUUUUGUGAAGAUUUAGAAAAGAUUUAGAUAACAAAGAUUGUUACUUGAUGAACAAGUUUAUUUAUUAGUAUAAAUAAGUGAGUUUAGGCUUUUGUUAGACACCACCACCUCACCACAUCUCACCAUCACCUCCUCCACCUUCUCCUAAUAGCUCUCUCCAUCUUUUCUAGUAUGAGUUGCUAAACUCCAUAGUUAGUCAUAGGAUUUUUAAUAUUCUUGUGUUUGCAAACUUGAGGUUCUAUUCUUAAUGCGAAUUUGUUCUUAUUAAUUCUCUUCA
RNA transcript from Lotus japonicus, 2038 nucleotides. RefSeq lists it as uncharacterized. NCBI's taxonomy places the organism in Eukaryota, Viridiplantae, Streptophyta, Magnoliopsida, Fabales, Fabaceae. The record is from RefSeq and is a predicted model, not a curated record. The transcript is spliced from 5 exons.